AUGUCGGACACGUGGGGCAGCAUCCAGGCGCACAAGAAGCAGCUGGACUCGCUGCGGGAGAGGCUGCAGCGGCGGAGGAAAGACCCGGCGACACUGUCCUCCGAUGGCGGAAGCAGCACAGAGGGAUCCACAGCCAGGAGUGACAGCCCGGCUCCGACAGCUCCGCUCCCCACUCAGGAGGAGACGGAAAAACCACCAGACCCGGAGCUAGAGAAGAGACUGCUGGGAUAUCUCUCUGAUCUGAGUCUCUCGAUGCCAACGGACUCCCUUGCCAUCACAAAUGAACUCAGCUCUGAAUCAGCUGUCAGUCACGGAAGCAUCCAGAGUCUGCUGCUGAAAUUCUCUGCUCAGGAGCUCAUCGAGGUCCGGCAGCCCACCGCGACCUCUUCCUCUGCUACUUCCUCCCCCUCAAUCGUGGUAGCAGUGGACCACACAAAACUAUGGGCCAUGAUCGGCCCCGGGGCCGGAGCCCAGCGGACCGGAGUCAAGAGAAAAGCAGAAGAUCAAACCCACCACAAAAGAGCUCCGGGCCAGUCGCCCUCACUUCAGAGCUCCGCUUCUCCUCCGCGCACCUCCUUCACCUCUGUGACGCCGGCUUCCUCCUUGCAGCUGGGGGGGCCCUCGGCCUCAGGGAGCGGGGCCGAUAAGAAGGGCAGGAGCAGCAAAAGCCAGUCGUCCCAUAUGGACAUGGAGAUAGAGAGUCUCCUGAACCAACAGUCCACUAAAGAGCAGCAGAGCAAGAAGAUGAGCAGAGAGAUUCUUGAGCUGCUUAACGCCAGCACAGCCAAGGAGCAGUCCAUCGUGUUAAAGUUCCGAUCUCGCGGCCGAGCUCAGGUCCAAGAGUUUUGCGACCACGGGACCAAAGAGGAGUGUGUGCGCUCCGGGGACACGCCGCAGCCGUGCACCAAGUUACACUUCCGUCGCAUCAUCAACAAGCACACGGACGAGAGCCUUGGCGACUGCUCUUUCCUCAACACGUGUUUCCACAUGGACACCUGCAAGUACGUCCACUACGAGAUCGACAGCCUUCCGGAGGCCGAGGGGAGCCUGCUGGGGCCCCAGGGCGGGACCACAGAGCUCGGCCUCUGCGCAGGGGACGCCGACAGCAACGUGGGCAAACUGUUCCCCUCACAGUGGAUCUGCUGCGACAUCCGCUUCCUGGACGUGUCCAUCCUCGGUAAGUUCGCUGUGGUGAUGGCCGACCCUCCGUGGGACAUCCACAUGGAGCUGCCUUAUGGUACGCUGACUGACGACGAGAUGAGAAAGCUCAACAUCCCCAUCCUGCAAGACGACGGCUUCCUCUUCCUCUGGGUCACCGGCAGAGCCAUGGAGCUGGGCAGAGAGUGUCUCAGUCUUUGGGGCUAUGACCGAGCCGAUGAAAUCAUUUGGGUGAAAACCAACCAGCUGCAGAGAAUCAUCCGCACGGGAAGGACCGGCCAUUGGCUGAACCACGGGAAGGAGCACUGUCUGGUGGGCGUAAAGGGAAACCCUCAGGGAUUCAACCGAGGUUUGGACUGCGACGUAAUUGUGGCCGAGGUCCGCUCCACCAGUCACAAACCAGAUGAGAUCUAUGGCAUGAUAGAGAGACUCUCGCCCGGCACCAGGAAGAUCGAGCUUUUCGGUCGACCGCACAACGUCCAGCCCAACUGGGUAACUCUUGGGAACCAGCUUGAUGGCAUUCAUCUCUUGGAUCCUGAUGUCGUGGCUCGAUUUAAGAACCGCUAUCCAGAUGGCGUCAUCUCCAAACCCUGACCCCAAACACAAGCAGUGAUGGCUUAAAUCAUUGGUCACAGGUUUGGAAGAAGUUUGUCAAUAGACUUUUUUUUUUUAUACCAGUGAACUCAUUUCUUAAAUAAAUGUUGUGAACAAGAUACAUUGUCUGUGUCUUGGUUAAGAAAUGUAAAAAGUGUUGUUUCUGUACAUUAGUGUGUAAUCCCCAAAUCUAAUUCUGCAAAACUUCACAUCCACCAUCAACAAAAACACAGGAGACAUUUUUAAUGUACAUUUUUAGUUAUUAUUUUGUUAGUCAAGAAUAAAGAGACUGUGUUGACGUAUUGUAGAUUUGAAUAACUUCGAAGGGUUUUUGCAUCAAAGGGCAAACAUUUUUCGUCAUUUUUGUCAUUCGGGAUCAGAACUUUACAGUCAUGUGUGUUUCAGGCAAAUACAGAAACCUGUUCACCAGUUAAGCUUUGUUAAAAAGUUAAACAUUUUAAUAUCACAUGAAAUCAGGUUUUUUUUUUUCAGUUAUAAAAUAUUAAAGACAAGAAAUUAGCCGGAGUGAGCUGAACAACUUUUGCUUCAAGCUUUCAAAGGAGGAACUAACUAGAGGCAAACACAUCUGCUGUGCUCCCUCCUCUGAUAGUGUACAGGGGUUUCGUAACAGAGUACAUUCCUGGUUAUAAGAAAUGUCAAUAGGUUUCGUAAUAUGUCCCUCGUGAUUAGUGCUGGGUGUCAUUCAAAACAUGACCGUACCAUUAAAGUGAUAACGAUACCAAAAUCCAAAUGAUUUUCAUACAUUUUAAGUGUUCAAAUUAUCAAAAUAUUUAUUAAAAGUAACUGUACAAUGAAGUAUUAUCUGGGCAGUGUGAUUCAGCCUCCUUUGAAGAGUUGUGGUGGCAUCUCAGCACGCUAAACUGCCAACUCAGUGAAACACACCGCGCUCCACCUCACAACAGACUGUGUUGAGUCAAAGAACGCUUGCAGCGAUUGGCUGCGAGCAAAACCAUACAAAGUUAUUUUCUUUCUAGAUCUUCAGCACAAAAAGGAUUUGAUGCGGGUAUCGUUUGACUGGAGAAGUUCCGAUACUACUUGUUAUUGGGUUAUUUCGGUUAUUAGUAUCAAGUACCCAGCCCUACUCAUGAUGGUGGCUAAUGAUGCGGUGUAGCUACAGAUAUUCAUCCACAUACUUCAAAGGUUAACUCCCUCAUCUCGCUUUGUGAAACACUCAGUUAUCUCAACAGUGAAUUAACAAAUCUGCAGGUUUUUCCCACAAAGUUGGCCAACAAAAACAGAAAAAAAAAAAACAAUAAAAAAAGUUAUGCACUUUUUGGUAGUGAAUGCUGUAAACAAGUCUGUCUCUUCUCCAAUCAGUAUUGUGACUGUUUGGGCAGUGGAUCCACGGAAAACCUUAAUGCACAGAAAUUGAAAACCACGUCUGUUUCAGUCUUUUUUCCCCGGUCCCUCGUUGAGUCUGAUUAAUCAUAGAGAGUUCUUUGUGGGCAGCGAACAAUGAGGGGUUUGAUUGCACACUGUGGCUGUGCACACUGCUGUUGAUCCCAUCUAAAGGGGACCACAGAUGCUCUUGCUCGGCCAUCGGGCUCCCGGGGUUGCGCCACAGCGUCCAAGCGCGAAUGGGCGACAGAAAAUCGAAGGUACAGGAAUCCAUUUAUCGUCUCUCCAGACCUCUCACGUCGUCCUCAGUAGGUGGCGUCCACUGCGUUGAUGUUGCUGUCCAGCUGGUGUCUAAACGACAGCCUGGCCUUGGUGGAGAAGUAGAUCUGGGAGCCGCGACUCAGGCCUCCUGCUCCUUCGCUGUCGCUACCACAGGACGUGGUGGAGCACAGGCGGGGCUUCAUCUCCUCAAUGGGAACUGAGAGGUGGAAGAUGGACAGAGAGUCGGGCGUUGUGAGGACAUACUGUCACGACACGGCUGUUUUUAAAUUGGUCUACAAUUGAAUUGAAUGUGUAGCUGCUCCUCACCUGCCGCUGGGGGGCACUGUCUGCUCUUGCAGCGCUCUUUACAGCGUCUGUAGAAAGGAAAACACUGCAGCAUCUUCACACCCAUGGCAGCGAUGUCUGUAGAGAGAGGGGAGUGAACAGAGACUUAAGUUUAAGAGAAGCAGCAUAAAAACAAACAAAUGCGAACAAAAACUUAAAAAUAUGGCAACGCACGAGCUUUUGAACAGAGGUAAACCCAUCCUACAAUGCAAGUGAAAAACAUUCUCAAAUUGGGAGUGAAGAGUCCGGUCCAAAAUGUUUUGCAGGAAGCUCACGUCUCCGAUAGCUUCCAUUCAAGCUGCCUUGAUCACAAGGAGAGCAUGUCUGAGUGCCUGCUGACAGCUCCUCGUCUCAUCACCAGGUCAGUUUAAUUGAAUUAUGAUCCUGCGCUUCAGCGUCAUGAUAUUCGUAACGCAAGCCGACCAAUGUAACGCAACAGCACCGUGACCCAGCAACCACCAAUCAGUCAGUAUUUACCUCGUCAACACCGCCUAAUCCCGGAACAGGACGUCAAUGGGCCAGACGCAUAUUAAGCCUUCUCCUGACAACCAGACGGAUUACAUAGAGGUCAUGUGAUGUGUGCAAGUUAUUGUUUUCAUUUUAAAAGCUUUUGUUUCUGGACUUCUCCCUCCCAGCAGUGUGCCUUCCAGUGAGGGGUUACUAGACCUGGAUCUGGUCUGAAUAUAGACCCAAUCGUUGAUCUGAGGCCGCAGGUAGAACCGAUUCAUUGAGCAACAAAAUCAGUCAAAUUCAGUUUCCCAGAGGAUUGUCCCUCUUAUCUGUGGCACCUCUGAAUGAUGAUAAAGCCAGGGCCACACGCCAGCACUCAGCUGCAUUUACUGAGAGCGAGGGGGGAAAAAAGGUAUUUAUUUUAGUCUUAAUCGGGUUAGGGAAUGGGUCAGGUGAAAUGGAGCGUAGGGAGGUUAUUUAUCUCGAAAGUUUAUAUUGUAACAGUGUUUUAGGUUAAGACUUGUGUAGCUUUAAUGUUUCUGCUGCAAAUGACCUAAACUUUUAUUUAUAACCUUUAGAGGAUCAAAGUAAAUCAUUACAAAAAGACUCAAAUCAAAACAGACAUGCAAAAUGACCACAAAGACUCAAAAUGACCACGGAGAGAUGCAAAACUAUUACAAAAACAUUCAAAACAACGACGUGAUACAAAAUUACAGAAAGGACUUUAAUCAACCACUAAGACACAUUAAAACGACAACAAAGAGAUGCAAAAUGACCACAAAAUUGCAAAAAGACUAAAGGACUAAAAAGAAAUCCAAAACAACCACAUAUGAAGGCAAAAGGUUUACAAAAAGACUUAAAUAAACCAUGAUGAGAUGCGAAACAGCCACAAAGAGGAGCAAAAGUCUUACAAAGAGACUAAUCAACCGGUGAGAGACAUUAAGACGACCAUACAGAGAUGCAGAACGGCCACAAAACGGCUCAAAAUGACCACAAAGAGACUCGGAGUCUGAAAAAAACGCCUAUUUCAGUCUGAUGAGAAAGCGAUAAAGCACUAAGCCUCAUUGUUCAUUGAUCACAGAUAGAAAGAUUUGGAUAUCUGUUGUCAAACAGUAAACUGUGAUUGCAACAUAAAGAACAGUGUUUGCCUGACACACCCCCCACCCCCCACACUGUUUACUGCCGAUUCCUCGUGCUCCUUCACUCAGGGAGGCGGCUUCAUGGAGACGUGACAGCUCACACAUACGCAUACAGUCACAGCUGCUGUGGCUUACAGACAGGCUGCAGAGGAGACUUUUGGUAAAUAAAUGAAAACCUCAUCUCUUAUUUCACAGUCUCUCUUUUGGAUAAAUUCACACAAAAGCUGCUUUAUUUUUUUCUCGUCCAUUUCUUAACCAUCUAAUGCACCUCCCGUCUAAUUUUCUCUCAGGUGUGGCUGUGAAAUCCUAUCCCAUUUUCCAGACACAGUGACUCCAUUAUGCUGAGCUCAAUGUAGAGGUCCUGCCUGUGAAAUGAGACCUCACAGUAUAGCUCACAUUGUGACGGGACGAGAAAAGGGACAGUACUGACCGACAAUGGUUUCCCCUAGUUUAAUCAUUCUAGUUUCCUCCUACAACCAUGCUAUAGAUUCUUUGAGAAUCAACAAUAUAGCAAGCGUGGGAAGCAGUUCCACACACACACACACACACACACACACAAUAUUGAGGCCCUAGUCAGUGGUGAGGAAUUUUGGGCCCAGAUCAUGAUUGGCUGUGGAGGUUUGGCAGCAGCUUAGGAGCCUGGAGGAGAAAAACAACCUCAGAUGGCAAACUCCUGCAUUCACGCCCAAGUACCCACAGAGACACAUUGACCACGGAGAGGAAGGGGAGAAGAGGAAGUAGAAGAAAUAGAAAGGACGUGGGUCAAGAAUGAAGAUCUAAGUGAGAAAGAGAAGUAUGAAGUUGUGCCUCGACCUCUUUCUCUCUUCAUGCGUUUCUCUGGAAGCUCCAGCCUGCGGGCAGUUAAUGUGAGCAACAUGCAUAACCUGAAUAAUGCGAUUUUCAGUUGCUCAAUCAGUGGCGGCUCACUAAUGGAGCUGGAAAUUGCGCAAUCCUUCCAGAAAAACAUUUGCAAGUUCAUAUUUUUGAGUGCAUGUGUGUGUUUGCAGGGAGAGGUAAAAGGCUUGUUUGCUGAGCAUGAUCCCCUGUAUUCAAACAUUUUUAAACUUUUCUCUCUCCAAGCCACCGAACCACACUUAGCUUCUUAUCGGCUUUGUAAACAAUGUUAAAGAAAGCAAAGAAAGCAGCAGAGCACAUAUGCUUACAGUAAUGUGAUAACAAUAUUGCCACUGCUCCACGUUUCCCCCUGAGCGCCCCCUUCUCCAGUCAGUCCUUGGGGUUUUAUAAAAAAUAAAGAAAAAGACGGCCUGCAACACAAAGCCUCACACAGGCCUGCCAGGCUGGAUGACGCACACACUCUGUGCACGUAUACCUGCACAAAUGUGUGUGUCCAUUAAUAGCAGCAUACAAUCCGCUUUCAUUAAUAUUCAUCACAGCCAGAGGAUAAAGCCGCUUUUAAGGUGUUUCUAUAGAGCUUCGAGGAAAUUAUUCAAAUAGUGCUUUAAUAAAAUGUUACGGUACUUGUACUUCCAUUUUAUGCUACUUUAAACUAUUACUUUGUUACACUUCAGGGGCAAAUGUUAUGUUUUUUUACUCUACUACAAUUAUUUGACAGUUCUAGUUCCUUUACUGAUGAAACUGUUGCUGAUGAAACACAUGCUUGAAUUUGUUGUUCUAUAUCAAACUGAGCACAAUAUACAGUAGUUCAAGUUAGCUGCACCCAAUACAUAAUUAACAUGCAGUUUACAGGUUAAUGCAGCAAUAAAAUAAUUAAGUAGUAUAGUACAACACUGUAAAAGGAGAAAGUUUAGAAUGCAAAACUUUUAGGGACUGUAUGAAAGUUGCUGCAGUGGUGAGACGGGCAGAUAAUACUUACUUUGUGAUUAUUGCCACGGUUAUGAAUGAUUUCUUUGAACAUUCCUCUUAAAAUGAUUGGUAUGGCAAGCUCAAUUUAAACCUUAAUAUCUUCAUGGAACUGCUAAUGUGAGCCCAUCGUGCACAUUAAUAAAACCCCGACACAAAGGCUGUAGCCUAUAUUGUUUACGUAAAGUUUGUUUUUGUUGUUGUAAUUAUUUGUUAUUCACUAUAAGGCUAAAGAAGGCUUAAAACAGUAAACACACACCCCAUACUUCCCCCAAAAGUCAAACUAUACCAGUUUUAGUUUCAACAUUUUAAAAAAAUGAUUCCCCCCCCCCCCCUAUUAACUUUGGUACGGUCCCUAACUUGUACUAUAAAAAAAAAAAAAAAAAACUUCCCCCACCACUAGUUGUCAUAUUUAGCUAAUUAACACACCUUCAGAUGCGCGUGCAGGAGGUGGAAGCCUCUGUGCGCGCGCGGUUGGAAAGGUUGAAUGAAAAGCUGCGCCAGACAGGCUAAUCUUAGCUUUCACCCAGCGCACUACACGCACCGCUCUGGCUCCCUCAUCGAUCUAUUAAAAGAUUCCAAACUUGCACUGAGGUUGCUGUCACGCCGUCACAGAGAGUGAAGUGGUCCCUCUGCGGUGUUCCUCUCCUUGUAAGGUGACAAGUGCCCCUCGCCAGUCUGCCAGCAGCCCGAGUAUGAUGAUGAGGCAACACAGUAACUCCCUGUGCGGAGGAGGCUCCGAUAUCAGGAACCGAACCACUCCCAACUGUCCCAUUGGCCUCAAUGCCAUCGUGAUAUCAUCCCGGGGACAAACUGGAUGGCGAGUGGAAAGCGAUAUUGUCGUUAUACUGACAUCAUCCUGUGUGAAUUAUUUUUGGCAAUUUAAUCCCUCGCUGCCAUUGCUCCACUGGAGCCGAGAGACGGGAAUAGCAGCACUGCCGACGUGCAGACAGAAACGGAUCGAACGAGAGACAUGCGAGGGUCAAAGGUAGCCCGACCGUGAUCUAAAAUUAGUCUGAGGUGAAAGACAUCCAUUAAAACGUGUAGUGAAGUCUCACAAAUGGAGAUAUUCACAUAAAGUGCCACAACUUCAAAAAGCAGGAGGGUGAUGAGUCUCAUUCAAAAAGUGCAGCCCAGGGUGCAAAGGUUUUUCUACCUUCAUUUACUGUCACUUUCAUAUUGUUGGCUAUUAAAUAAAGGCAGAUAUGAUCUUCAUAAUCAUUUCACGACCCUUCAGAUUUGCAUGGUGACGCCUUACAGGGUCCAGACUCCCAGGUUGAAAGCCCGCUGGUUUAGAUCAUCAGUGUUACUGAUCUGGACGUUCAUGAUCUUACAUUGCAUUAGAAAGAUUUAUGAGUGCAGUGUGCAGGACUUUAUGAGAUUCUGUGCGCUUACUGCCUUACAUGGCAUGCUAAUUCGAUUUAUUUUCAUCUACAGUAUAUGGUUCAUAUCUUGCUGAAAACAACAUAUGCAGGACAUAUGUUAAGAUGCCUCAAGUCUCUCCAGCCACCCAGUAACUCCUUUGCCCUGAUAUAGUAUUUCAAGAUAAGGUGAUUCAAUUGCAAAGAAACAAAAAUGAAGUCAUUGCAGACUCAAACUAGUGUGCUCCUCCCACAGUGUGAGUGUUUACUUGUCCCCAGCUCCCUGUUUCUUGCUCCCUCCCUCCCCCCUCAGAGGUCCGGACAUUCCCACACCAAUGUUGUUUAUUUUCUGUUGAUGCUGGCAUGCCUCUGUGGAGCCGGGACCACGACUGACUGGCUGAGGUUGGCUCCAGCCUCCAUUUUAUUCUCCUCAGCUCGCUCCUUCUGUACAUCAUGUCACGCUUCUUUACCAUUCCUUGUUUUUCACAUUUAUUGUUCUCUGUGAUUGAAAUAAUCCAGAAGUGCGCGGGCGAAGUGGCCUAAUGGUUGUAUCCUCUACAUAUACCAUGUAGAUCAGCUGGGAAUGCUGAGUGUAGUAAGCAGACGAUCUGAAGUGACACACAGUCUUGUUGGUAAUGUGCGGUCCAGGUGUCAAAUAUCACGUUUCAGUGUUAUAUGAUGAUAUAGUGCCAGUCACACAGACAGGUGCUGUCAGCAUCUUUAAGCAAUUGUUAGCUGAGCAGAACUUCCAGCCAGUUCAACUCAAAUUAUGACCUGACAAAGAAGCUCCAUCUUCAUACUUUCCAGGCUUUUUUUUCGAUAAAAAUUUCAUUUUCAUUUAGUUGAAUAUCAGUGCAGAGUGGUGAGCAAUCAAGUCAUUUUAUUGAUGCAUCACAUGUAAAAGCAACACCGAGAUGCUUUUACGGGGAUGUUUAAGUCAAAUUGAAUAAACGGAAAGUUAAGUAAAAGGUAAAAAUGUAGCUUUUAAUUCAAAUUGAUUGAUUUCGGACAGAGGGGUAAAUAAGCUUACAAACCUGCUGAAUGUGCCUGACUGUACUUUGUGGCUGUGCUUAGGUCAUUCGUACUGUGGCUGGAUAAUUAUUGGGUGGUGGACUCUGCUGAGUUAUCACUUACGUACAUGUGUGAGUCUUGCCAGCAUGACUGUUGCUUUUAAAUGAGGUUGUUGUUGUGCUGAGGAGAGUUCCACAGAUGUGAAAAGACAUUGUAGAGUUGUGUGUUCAAUAAUGUUGUUUUCGUAUUUCACAGACUGAUUUGUGCUGUUUUCCUGCUCUGUCCCAAUUCGUCUCUCGCUAGUCCGGCCCAUACCGGCCAGUUCUGCUUCAUGGCCCCCUGUUUUUUUCCCCAUCUGUCUCCUCUUUUGUUUUGUCAGUCAAGCCUGAAAAACAGAGAGGAGGGGCUCAAUUUUGGGUACAUUUCUAAAUAAUGGCCUCACCACAGGGUCCUAACAAGUGCACAAGGCGGAAUUUAGCGCUUGAAUAACCGUCUUUUUUGUUGUUAUUCCCUCUUGAGGAGCCUCUCUCUGUUUCUCAAGUCUCCCUCAGUUCAUGCAUGGACUUUCAUCAGUAUUUGUCCACUGUGUCAUCAAACAGCACUUUCUUUUCCUCUCUGGAUUCUUCGAGUGGCCACGGUUUGCAUGAGAAGUGGCUGAGAACGGGGCCCCCCUUCCCGUUUUCCUCCCUUUGUCCCGCCAUUCUUUUAUACCAAAUUCUUCUCACUUAUGCUCCUUCCUCGCUUUGUGCUGUGCAUUAUAUAAGAGAGCUGCUCACCACCAGCCAAUCAGUCAGCUAACAUGGUCUCAUUGUUGGGCAUAGCCCUUAUUUCCACUGCUACACAAC
Anarrhichthys ocellatus (wolf-eel) is the source of this 10344-nucleotide RNA transcript. It is a transcript of the gene named methyltransferase like 3, with no coding region annotated. The record is from RefSeq and is a predicted model, not a curated record. The transcript is spliced from 12 exons. NCBI's taxonomy places the organism in Eukaryota, Metazoa, Chordata, Actinopteri, Perciformes, Anarhichadidae.